This 94-nucleotide transfer RNA is filed under the name Actinoplanes xinjiangensis. RNAcentral describes it as "tRNA-Gly". Lineage: Bacteria; Bacillati; Actinomycetota; Actinomycetes; Micromonosporales; Micromonosporaceae. The record is from RNAcentral.
CUGGGCGGCCAGCCCGUAGGCGGCGGUGUGGUCACCGUCCACGGCGCCCCGGACCGGGGCGAGCAGCAGCCGGUACGGGGCCGGCCCGCUCAGG